UAGGGAAUCUUCCGCAAUGGGCGAAAGCCUGACGGAGCAACGCCGCGUGAGUGAUGAAGGUCUUCGGAUCGUAAAACUCUGCUAUUAGGGAAGAACAAAUGUGUAAGUAACUAUGCACGUCUUGACGGUACCUAAUCAGAAAGCCACGGCUAACUACGUGCCAGCAGCCGCGGUAAUACGUAGGUUGCAAGCGUUAUCCGGAAUUAUUGGGCGUAAAGCGCGCGUCGGCGGUUUUUUAAGUCUGAUGUGAAAGCCCACGGCUCAACCGUGGAGGGUCAUUGGAAACUGGAAAACUUGAGUGCAGAAGACGAAAGUGGAAUUCCAUGUGUAGCGGUGAAAUGCACAGAGAUAUUGAGGAACACCAGUGGCGAAGGCAACUUUCUGGUCUGUAACUGACGCUGAUGUGCGAAAGCGUGGGGAUCAAACAGG
RNAcentral lists this ribosomal RNA (429 nucleotides) under Actinomycetes bacterium. Its description in RNAcentral is "Actinobacteria bacterium partial 16S ribosomal RNA". It matches the Rfam family "Bacterial small subunit ribosomal RNA", at positions 355 to 776 of the family's 1533-position model. Lineage: Bacteria; Bacillati; Actinomycetota; Actinomycetes. The record is from RNAcentral.